GUCUAGAGUUGGACCGCUGGCAGACGCCAGCGCACGUGUGCCAGCGAAGUCGGUGUGAAUCCGACGCUGUCCCGCAACGGUGAUGUCCCUUCGGGGGAUGAGCCCGGUCGCCUGCCCCCGUGCCCCGAACUGC
This 133-nucleotide non-coding RNA is filed under the name Luteococcus japonicus. Lineage: Bacteria; Bacillati; Actinomycetota; Actinomycetes; Propionibacteriales; Propionibacteriaceae. The record is from RNAcentral. RNAcentral also lists the same sequence under 1 other name.